RNAcentral lists this ribosomal RNA (462 nucleotides) under uncultured bacterium. RNAcentral describes it as "partial 16S ribosomal RNA". It matches the Rfam family "Bacterial small subunit ribosomal RNA", at positions 28 to 507 of the family's 1533-position model. The record is from RNAcentral.
GACGAACGCUGGCGGCGUGCUUAACACAUGCAAGUCGAACGGUAAGGCCCUUCGGGGUUCACGAGUGGCGAACGGGUGCGUAACACGUUGGUAAUCUGCCCUGCACUUCGGGAUAAGCCUGGGAAACUGGGUCUAAUACCUGAUAUUCAGUUCCUGCCACAUGGUGGGGGUUGGAAAGUUUUUUGGUGCAGGAUGAGCUCGCGGCCUAUCAGCUUGUUGGUGGGGUAAUGGCCUACCAAGGCGACGACGGGUAGCCGGCCUGAGAGGGUGAUCGGCCACAAUGGGACUAAGACACGGCCCAGACUCCUACGGGAGGCAGCAGUGGGGAAUAUUGCACAAUGAGCGAAAGCCUGAUGCAGCGGCGCCGCGGGAGGGAUGACGGUCUUCGGAGUGUAAACAACUUUCAGUAGGGACGAAGCGGAAGUGACGGUACCUGCAGAAGAAGCACCGGCCAACUACGUG